Molecule: long non-coding RNA, 1018 nt
Filed under: Salmo salar (Atlantic salmon)
Lineage: Eukaryota; Metazoa; Chordata; Actinopteri; Salmoniformes; Salmonidae
Description: lncRNA (ENSSSAG00000092578.1)
Source: RNAcentral
CCCCAGUGAAAGUUGCGACCCUGAGUUCUCUGCAAAGUUAAUAUGCACGAUGAUCACUUUCCGCAGAUUCUCUUUAAAUUCUCUCAGUUUGGAUUAUUGGUGUCGAAUGUUGUACACGUGUUUCCCCAACUUCUCUUUCAAUCAUUUGGAGAAGUCCUCCAGUAGAAUAUGCAGUGUGCCACACACAUUUUCUUUAACUGUCAAAUGUACAGUGAACUUCUCCAUGUUUCCCUCUGUUUUUCAUUUUCUCUCUCUUCAGCUUUGUUUUUCCACUCAAACCACCAUGUCUGCUCACCAGCAUCAAAGUCAGAUGUUAAGCUCUUUUGCUUGGCAAAGAGAGCACUCUGUGUACAUGCACUCUUUCUUCAGGUUCUCACAGCACAAAGACUCAACUAGGUUCUCAUUGUUGCUGCAGCUGAUCACUUUGUGAUACUGUAGUUUGUCCCCCAUGAACUGGAGGUUGGCGUGGGUUUUGCAGAAGCAUGUGUCCCUAUCCUGGACUGUUGGCUUGACAACCCAAAAAGGACAUCUUUUGCAGAAUUCAUAGCAGGACAUUUUAAUCUCUGAAUAUUCCCUCUUAAAAUUCUGAUAAAGGUUCUGAAUUGUGCCAUUCAAGAAGCGCUUCUGCUUUUUUUCUUGUGUGUCCUUUUUCCCCUGUUGCUGCUCUAAUGUUGACAUCACGUUCAUAUAAUCUAGUAAUUUUCUCUUCUGUGGCUGUAGUAAUUAUGUUACACUGCUUUUUCCUGGAGUAUUGCAUACUUGUUGGCCUGUUUUCAUUUGCCCUCAUUGCUUUUGCUGAAAAGCCAAAUUCUCUGUGUGCGGCGUUAUCCAGGCCAUACUUUCUCAGGAUGUUGCCUCUGAGCAUUUUUGAAGCCACUUGUUUGUCCUUGGCACUGCGUAUUUUUUGAUACUUUUGCUUUAACUCUGCAAGGAUGGCAUUUUGAAACAAUAAAAUCCUUCAAGUUCUUUGGAGUUCUCUUCAUUUUCUGUCUUGUAUUUGUCUUUGGGGAAUAUUGUC